This 389-nucleotide ribosomal RNA is filed under the name uncultured Desulfuromonas sp. Its description in RNAcentral is "bacterial SSU rRNA". It matches the Rfam family "Bacterial small subunit ribosomal RNA", at positions 993 to 1382 of the family's 1533-position model. Lineage: Bacteria; Pseudomonadati; Thermodesulfobacteriota; Desulfuromonadia; Desulfuromonadales; Desulfuromonadaceae. The record is from RNAcentral.
UCGCACUUUCUGGAAACAGAGAGGUCAGUUCGGCUGGAUCGGUGACAGGUGCUGCAUGGCUGUCGUCAGCUCGUGUCGUGAGAUGUUGGGUUAAGUCCGCAACGAGCGCAACCCUCGUCCUUAGUUGCCAGCAUUAAGUUGGGCACUCUAAGGAGACUGCCGGUGUUAACCGGAGGAAGGCGGGGAUGACGUCAAGUCCUCAUGGCCCUUAUGUCCAGGGCUACACACGUGCUACAAUGGCCGGUACAAAGGGUAGCAAGACCGCGAGGUGGAGCCAAUCCCAAAAAGCCGGUCUCAGUUCGGAUUGGAGUCUGCAACUCGACUCCAUGAAGUUGGAAUCGCUAGUAAUCGUGGAUCAGCAUGCCACGGUGAAUACGUUCCCGGGCCUU